RNAcentral lists this ribosomal RNA (547 nucleotides) under uncultured bacterium. Its description in RNAcentral is "bacterial SSU rRNA". It matches the Rfam family "Bacterial small subunit ribosomal RNA", at positions 355 to 896 of the family's 1533-position model. The record is from RNAcentral.
UAGGGAAUUUUUCACAAUGAGCGAAAGCUUGAUGGAGCAAUGCCGCGUGAACGAUGAAGGUCUUUAAGAUUGUAAAGUUCUUUUAUUUGGGAAGAAUGACUUUAGCAGGUAAUGGCUAGAGUUUGACUGUACCAUUUUGAAUAAGUGACGACUAACUAUGUGCCAGCAGUCGCGGUAAUACAUAGGUCGCAAGCGUUAUCCGGAUUUAUUGGGCGUAAAGCAAGCGCAGGCGGAUUGAAAAGUCUGGUGUUAAAGGCAGCUGCUUAAUAGUUGUAUGCAUUGGAAACUAUUAAUCUAGAGUGUGGUAGGGAGUUUUGGAAUUUCAUGUGGAGCGGUGAAAUGCGUAGAUAUAUGAAGGAACACCAGUGGCGAAGGCGAAAACUUAGGCCAUUACUGACGCUUAGACUUGAAAGUGUGGGGAGCAAAUAGGAUUAGAUACCCUAGUAGUCCACACCGUAAACGAUAGAUACUAGCUGUCGGGGCGAUCCCCUCGGUAGUGAAGUUAACACAUUAAGUAUCUCGCCUGGGUAGUACAUUCGCAAGAAUG